UACGUAGGGGGCGAGCGUUGUCCGGAUUCAUUGGGCGUAAAGAGCUCGUAGGCGGCUUGGCAAGUCGGGUGUGAAAUCUCUGGGCUUAACUCAGAGAGGCCACUCGAUACUGCUAUGGCUAGAGUCCGGUAGGGGACCAUGGAAUUCCUGGUGUAGCGGUGAAAUGCGCAGAUAUCAGGAGGAACACCGGUGGCGAAGGCGGUGGUCUGGGCCGGUACUGACGCUGAGGAGCGAAAGCGUGGGGAGCGAACAGG
RNAcentral lists this ribosomal RNA (254 nucleotides) under uncultured bacterium. Its description in RNAcentral is "partial 16S ribosomal RNA". It matches the Rfam family "Bacterial small subunit ribosomal RNA", at positions 524 to 776 of the family's 1533-position model. The record is from RNAcentral.